AGUGAACGCUGGCGGUAGGCCUAACACAUGCAAGUCGAACGGCAGCACAGUAAGAGCUUGCUCUUACGGGUGGCGAGUGGCGGACGGGUGAGGAAUACAUCGGAAUCUACUUUUUCGUGGGGGAUAACGUAGGGAAACUUACGCUAAUACCGCAUACGACCUACGGGUGAAAGCAGGGGAUCUUCCGACCUUGCGCGAUUGAAUGAGCCGAUGUCGGAUUAGCUAGUUGGCGGGGUAAAGGCCCACCAAGGCGGCGAUCCGUAGCUGGUCUGAGAGGAUGAUCAGCCACACUGGAACUGAGACACGGUCCAGACUCCUACGGGAGGCAGCAGUGGGGAAUAUUGGACAAUGGGCGCAAGCCUGAUCCAGCCAUACCGCGUGGGUGAAGAAGGCCUUCGGGUUGUAAAGCCCUUUUGUUGGGAAAGAAAAGCAGCAGGUUAAUACCCCGCUGUUCUGACGGUACCCAAAGAAUAAGCACCGGCUAACUUCGUG
Molecule: ribosomal RNA, 492 nt
Filed under: uncultured bacterium
Lineage: Bacteria
Description: partial 16S ribosomal RNA
Rfam family: Bacterial small subunit ribosomal RNA
Source: RNAcentral